Molecule: ribosomal RNA, 253 nt
Filed under: uncultured bacterium
Lineage: Bacteria
Description: partial 16S ribosomal RNA
Rfam family: Bacterial small subunit ribosomal RNA
Source: RNAcentral
UACAGGGGGUGCAAACGUUGCUCGGAAUCAUUGGGCGUAAAGAGCGCGCAGGCGGUCGUUCAAGUCGCGUGUGAAAGCCCCCGGCUCAACUGGGGAGGGUCACGCGAUACUGAUCGACUCGAAGGCAGGAGAGGGAAGUGGAAUUCCCGGUGUAGUGGUGAAAUGCGUAGAUAUCGGGAGGAACACCAGUGGCGAAGGCGACUUCCUGGCCUGUUCUUGACGCUGAGGCGCGAAAGCUAGGGGAGCAAACGGG